RNAcentral lists this ribosomal RNA (253 nucleotides) under uncultured bacterium. Its description in RNAcentral is "partial 16S ribosomal RNA". It matches the Rfam family "Bacterial small subunit ribosomal RNA", at positions 524 to 776 of the family's 1533-position model. The record is from RNAcentral.
GACGAAGGAUGCAAGCGUUAUCCGGAUUCAUUGGGUUUAAAGGGUGCGUAGGCGGACUGAUAAGUCAGUGGUGAAAUCUCUCAGCUUAACUGAGAAAGUGCCAUUGAUACUGUUAGUCUAGAGUAUAGAUGACGUUGGCGGAAUAUGACAUGUAGUGGUGAAAUACUUAGAUAUGUCAUAGAACACCGAUUGCGAAGGCAGCUAACGAAACUAUAACUGACGCUGAGGCACGAAAGUGCGGGGAUCAAACAGG